RNA transcript from Phoenix dactylifera (date palm), 3971 nucleotides. It is a transcript of the gene named casein kinase 1-like protein HD16, with no coding region annotated. NCBI's taxonomy places the organism in Eukaryota, Viridiplantae, Streptophyta, Magnoliopsida, Arecales, Arecaceae. The record is from RefSeq and is a predicted model, not a curated record.
AGCGGCCAGAGUUUCCCCCUUUCUAUGUUCGUCGUUUCCAAACCCUCGAAAGCUCUCUUCCAAAGAUCGCCAAACCGAAAACCUAGCCCUAAAUAAUUCCGAAGAGGCGAUCGAAUACGUUUUCCCCCCUCAAAUCUUGGAGCGGAAUCCGUCGCGGCGCCCGAUCUGCGUCCCUGGAGUCUCCGCAGGUUUCCCCUCUUCCUUGUCGGCGAGAUAGGGUUUCAAGAAUCUGGGAAAUCUAGGGAUUGCUGGCAUGAGGUUGGAUGGAUGAAGGAUGCCGGAGCUCCGUAGUGGAGUGCGGAGGGGCCGAGCGCAGGCGAAUCCGAUAGUCCAGGCCGAGAGGCCUACCGCCGCGAGGAGGAGGAGGGCGGCGAGGAACAAGGCGCCGCUGGUGGACGCGAACCCGGUGAACCCGUCCGCUGAGCCAAGGGAGCAUAUCAGGAUUCUGGAGGGCGGGGACGACGUCGGAGGUUUGGUUGGGGAGGAGAUUAAGGAAGAGGUCGGUGAGAGGAAGAUGGAUGACUGUGAUAGCGGGGCGAAGAGCCCCGACAAGCUCCCCGGUGGGGAGGACGAGGGAAGCACGGCGCCUCUUCCAGAAAAGGUCCAGAUUGGGAAUUCACCUGUGUAUAAAAUUGAGAGGAAACUAGGGAAAGGAGGAUUUGGUCAAGUGUAUGUUGGUCGCCGUAUUUCAGCUACUAAUGCAAAUGAUAGGAUUACUGGUUCCAGUGCUGUGGAGGUGGCAUUAAAGUUUGAGCAUAGAAGCAGUAAGGGAUGCAACUAUGGGCCCCCUUAUGAAUGGCAAGUUUACAACACUCUUGGUGGCAUUCAUGGUGUGCCACGUGUCCAUUACAAGGGUCGCCAAGGAGACUAUUAUGUCAUGAUUAUGGAUAUGUUGGGCCCAAGUCUAUGGGAUGUUUGGAAUAAUAACUCGCACACAAUGUCCAUUGAAAUGGUUGCGUGUAUUGCUAUUGAGGCAAUUUCCAUACUGGAGAAGAUGCAUUCCAAAGGGUAUGUGCAUGGGGAUGUGAAGCCUGAAAACUUCUUACUUGGACCUCCUGGGACUCCUGAAGAGAAAAAACUGUUUCUUGUUGAUCUUGGCUUAGCCACUAGAUGGAAGGACCAUUCUACAGGUAUGCAUGUUGAGUACGACCAACGUCCAGAUGUUUUCAGGGGAACAGUUCGCUAUGCUAGUGUUCAUGCUCACCUAGGAAGAACAGCAAGCAGGAGAGAUGAUUUAGAAUCCCUUGCUUAUACACUAAUAUUUCUUCUCCGUGGCCGUCUACCAUGGCAAGGAUACCAGGGAGAGAACAAAGGUUUCCUUGUCUCCAAAAAGAAGAUGGCUACAUCUCCAGAGGCUUUAUGUUGCUUUUGUCCACAACCCUUCAGACAGUUUGUUGAGUAUGUCGUCAACUUAAAGUUUGAUGAGGAACCUAAUUAUGCAAAGUGCAUUUCUCUCUUUGAUGGCAUUGUAGGUCCAAAUCCAGAUAUCAGGCCAAUUAACACUGAUGGUGCUCAAAAGCUUAUAUAUCAGGUUGGGCAAAAGAGAGGUCGGCUGAUGUUGGAAGAAGAGGAUGAUGAGCAGCCAAAGAAGAAGGUUAGAAUGGGGAUGCCUGCAACACAAUGGAUUAGUGUUUAUAAUGCUCGGCGACCCAUGAAGCAGAGGUAUCACUACAAUGUUGCAGAUGGGAGGCUUGCACAACAUAUUGAGAAAGGAAAUGAAGAUGGUUUAUUUAUCAGUUGUGUUGCAUCUUGUACAAAUCUUUGGGCCUUGAUAAUGGAUGCAGGCACAGGUUUUACUGCUCAAGUGUACGAACUGUCACCAAAUUUUCUUCACAAAGAAUGGAUAAUGGAGCAAUGGGAGAAGAACUAUUACAUUAGCGCAUUGGCAGGAGCAAAUAAUGGUAGCUCCUUGGUAGUAAUGUCUAAAGGUACACAGUAUGCACAACAGUCAUACAAAGUGAGUGAUUCAUUUCCUUUCAAGUGGAUAAACAAAAAAUGGAGAGAGGGUUUCUAUGUCACUGCCAUGGCAACUGCUGGGAGUAGAUGGGCAGUUGUCAUGUCCCGUAAUGCUGGCUUUUCAGAUCAGGUUGUUGAACUUGACUUCUUAUACCCUAGCGAAGGUAUUCACCGGAGAUGGGAUAAUGGCUACCGUAUAACUGCAACUGCUGCAACAUGGGACCAGGCUGCAUUUGUACUAAGUGUGCCUAGGAGGAGGCCUGCAGAUGAAACACAAGAGACACUUAGAACUUCUGCUUUUCCUAGUCAGCAUGUCAAGGAUAAGUGGGCAAAAAAUCUUUAUAUUGCAUCGGUUUGUUAUGGCCGCACUGUUUCCUAAGGUUCCCUGUUCUCUCUUGGGAUGACAAAGGCUUAAUCCACUUAUGUUGCAACCCCCCAUCCUGUUGAGUUGGACACCACGAGCUUAAACUUUUGGAAAGGCAACUGCCCUAUAUUUUGAUGUGCAAACUUAAAUGUUACCAUCUCUGCUGUCAGCUAAAGCUAACAAAUGGUGCGGUCUCACUGUCAAGUUUUGAAGAUGCCCUCACUUGUGCUAUCAAAAUUAGAUUGGAUGGAUCCUACAAUCUGCCAAUGGAGAAGCAUAUUGCUGUAACUGUUUCAGUGCUUUUGUUAAUCGGGUUCUGUUGGUUUCUCCACUAGCUGCAAAUCACAAGAACAAGAAUUCCCGUCGCAUGGCUUGCUUGAAGGCUGCGAGAGCUUGGAAAUGAUAGCCAAGAUGGGGAGUCAAACCUGGUGCAUUGAAUCCAACAUGACGAACGAACUAGUAAAAUGUCUAUAGAAGAUUCUUGCGGAGAUGCUGAGAUUGUAACUUCACACUGUAAGUUGCAUCUUACGAGGACUGCUGGUCCAUUUUUCCUGUUGCAAGGGAUGAUCACACGGCCAUCUGCUGUAGAAUGGCACCCUAAUGGCCUGUGGGACAAGGUGCCAUGUUGUUAUGUCACAGAAGGAUAUCAACAGUUUAUGGUCCAACGUUGCGCAUCUGAAGCCCGUGGUUCUCAAUCCGCAGGACUUGAGGAACGGACGUGUAAUUUCCUGUGGGGAUACGAUAAUUUUGUGACAACCUUUCGUGAUGCAGCGUUGCGCAUCCAAGGUUAGAGGCAGUCAGUCGCAGGUCAGCGACCGAGGAACAGAAAUGAUUCCAGGACCCGUUCGAUUGCUUUCUUUUGGUCCUUGGUAAUGUGGGAUCUAUGGGGUUUGGGUUACGUCUCCCUUCCUUCUCUCCCUCUGCUUGACCCUUUUCGCCCCUCCGUUUGUUACUAAUGCUGACUCCCACCUCACCCUUAGCCGUGUCUCCUCCCUCACCCCUCCCGCCGCCGCGGCCGCUGCCUCUCCUCGGUCCUGGGAGAGGUAUGGAGGUCGAGCCGAGCAUGGAAUGGACGUUAGAGAGGGGCAGAGCUUCCUCUCUCUCUCCGUCAGCGAGAGGGAUCCAGACGGGAAAAGUAGUCAAAUAUUAACGGACCUCCGUCUGCUAUGUCGCCAUGUCAAAGUAUGUGAGAGGAUUUGCUCAAAAGAUGAGAACACGGUCUCUGCAAAAUACCUUCUACAGUUGGCUUUGGCACAAAGUGAGCUGGUCUAUCAUUAUGCCAUCCACAAUUUAUCGGAUGAUCCUUAGGAAGGCAGUUCCAUAUGUUCAAAAACAAGCUGCCUGGUGCCCUGGUAAAUCCAAAACUUCCAUUAAGGAUCGUAAGUUUGCUGUUGUAGCAGGAUCCCUACGUUUGAGCAAACCAAGAUAUGUUACAUCCUGUGUUUAGCUGAUUUCCUCGACGUGGACACGUCGUAGCCGACCUCACACCCGUUUUCGAGGUUUUCCUUGAUUUUCGGGUUGGAUGAAAAAUGAAGUGUUGGCGAAAUUGGGCUGUACCUUAGCUUUUGUUAGGAUAUAUUUGAAGAUUACUUUAAAGAUUACAUUUCUGCAUAGGUUAAUAUUGAAUUAUGUGUAAAUGGAAAUCACAAAC